RNAcentral lists this ribosomal RNA (191 nucleotides) under uncultured bacterium. RNAcentral describes it as "partial 16S ribosomal RNA". It matches the Rfam family "Bacterial small subunit ribosomal RNA", at positions 335 to 526 of the family's 1533-position model. The record is from RNAcentral.
ACUCCUACGGGAGGCAGCAGUUGUAUAGUUAGGGCGAACCUGAUGCAGCCAUGCCGCGUGUGUGAAGAAGGCCUUCGGGUUGUAAAGCACUUUCAGUGGGGAGGAAGGGCUGAUGACUAAUAUUCAUCAGCAUUGACGUUACCCACAGAAGAAGCACCGGCUAACUCCGUGCCAGCAGCCGCGGUAAUCAC